This 57-nucleotide transfer RNA is filed under the name Boana albopunctata (spotted treefrog). RNAcentral's name for it is "partial tRNA-Tyr". The record is from RNAcentral. Lineage: Eukaryota; Metazoa; Chordata; Amphibia; Anura; Hylidae.
UGAUAAGAAGAGGACUUAAACCUCUGUUGAUGGGGCUACAACCCACCGCCUAACCCU